RNAcentral lists this long non-coding RNA (8140 nucleotides) under Brassica napus (rape). Its description in RNAcentral is "long non-coding RNA (BNAP_LNC023520)". The record is from RNAcentral. Lineage: Eukaryota; Viridiplantae; Streptophyta; Magnoliopsida; Brassicales; Brassicaceae.
CGGGAAUAAGAAUUCAUAGCCGGAAAUGGCGAAAGACGACGUGGAGAUGCGAGGGGAGGCCGAGGAGCGUAUAAUCAACGAAGACUACAAGAUCUGGAAGAAGAACACUCCUUUCCUCUACGACCUCGUCAUCACUCACGCUCUCGAGUGGCCUUCCCUUACCGUUGAAUGGCUCCCCAGCCGCGAUGAGCCUCCCGGUCAAAACUACUCCGUCCAGAAGAUGCUUCUCGGUACCCACACUUCCGAUAACGAACCCAAUUAUCUCAUGAUUGCCCAGGUUCAGCUUCCCCUUGAAGACACCGAGAGCGAAGCGCGUCAAUACGACGACGAUCGCUCCGAGUUUGGUGGGUUUGGCUGCGCCUCCGGAAAGGUACAAUCUUUCAGGUUAAUUCUAGGGUUUAGCGAGUUGAAUUAUAAGAAAGUCGAUUUCUUUUUGCGUUUAGGUGCAAGUGAUCCAGCAGAUAGUUCACGAAGGUGAGGUGAACCGAGCUCGAUACAUGCCUCAGAACCCUUUCUUGAUUGCCACCAAGACGGUUAGUGCGGAGGUGUUUCUGUUUGAUUACAGCAAGCACCCGUCUAAGCCAGCGCUUGAUGGGGCUUGCAAUCCUGAUAUGAAGCUCAAGGGUCACAGCUCUGAAGGCUAUGGGCUGUCUUGGAGUACCUUGAAGGAAGGUCAUUUGCUCAGCGGCGCUGAUGACGCUCAGAUCUGCUUGUGGGAUGUUAGCGCCACUCCUCAAAGCAAUGUUCUUGACGCUCAGCAGAUCUUCAAGGUAUGCUUUGGUUCAUGUCCCUCAGAAGACAAGCAAUUGCACCCACUGAAAGGAAUUAGUCAAGUCCAUGAAUGUACUGAUUAGUUGUUGUUUUAAUUUUUAGGCUCAUGAAGGCGUCGUGGAAGAUGUUGCAUGGCAUAUGCAACAUGCACACCUGUUUGGAUCCGUUGGAGAUGAUCAAUACCUUCAUAUAUGGGAUCUUCGUUCUCCUUCUCCCAGUGGACCAGUAAAGUCUGUGGAAGCUCACUCCAUGGAGGUGCGUUUGCACUAAACUGACUUUUAAGACAAAACAUUGAUGCUAAACAAAAAAAAACAAUCGAAUCAUAUUGCCUUAUCUGUAUUUUCUGAUUGUUUUUUUAUUCUUUUAAAUGCCUCAGGUUAACUGCUUAGCUUUCAAUCCAGUGAAUGAGUGGAUUGUGGCAACAGGGUCAACUGAUAAGACUGUUAAAUUAUUCGAUCUACGGAUGCUAAACAGCGCUCUUCACACAUUUGAAAGCCAUAAGUGAGAACAUUUUACUUUGAGACAUAUUAUAUGUUACUAAGAAGUAAUUUAGCUCAAGUAAACCCACCAUUGCUAACCUGAUAUUAUUUACUUUGAAUUCCAGGGAAGAGGUUUUCCAAGUUGGCUGGAACCCAAACAACGAGACAAUCUUAGCCUCAUGUUGCCUUGGAAGACGGCUUAUUGUUUGGGACGUUAGCAGGUUUGAUCAGUAGGCUUUGUUGCUUGGCUAUAGAAUACUCUUGUUUCCUUAUGGAGCAAUAAUAUUAAUGUGUUUGAUGGUGUCUUAUGACAGGAUCAACGACGAACAGACAGCAGAGGAUGCAGAGGACGGCCCACCGGAGCUGCUGUUUAUACAGCUAUAGCUUCCUCCCCUCCCCCUCCCCCUCCUCCUCCUCCUCCAGCUCCCCCGAUACCACAAUCUCAUGGAAACUCUGCGAUUAAAAGCUCACCUCCUGCACCUCCACGGCCUCCUGCUCCUCCUCCCCCUCCAAACGCACCACCUCCACCAGGUCAGAUGAAGGCACCGUCAGCACCACCUCCACCCCCGUUAGGUCAGAUGAGGUCACCAUCAGCACCACCCCCUCCUCCGAAAUUAGGAACUAAGUCAUCCCCAUCUUCUGGUACUGGUGUGCCUCCGACACCUGCUUUACCAGGUGGGUCUCUUUCAUCAGGAAAAGGGAGAAUGUUACGUGUAAAUUCAAAGAAUACAGCCAAAAAGUUGAAGCCAUACCACUGGUUGAAACUGACAAGAGCUGUUAAUGGGAGCUUAUGGGCAGAAACACAAAUGUCUAGCGAAGCUUCUAAGUAUGCGUUGUUCAUCUUGUCGUUACUUCUUUCUCUGAUGCCUUCAUUUCUUGUAUGAUUUCUAAGCCAUUAGUUCUUACAUGUUGUUGUUUAAGGGCUCCUGAGAUUGACAUGACAGAGCUUGAAAGUCUUUUCUCAUCUGCUCCAGAAGAGGCAGGAAAGUCGAGACUAAAUAGCUCUCGUGGACCUAAACCCGAGAAAGUUCAACUGGUAAAUUGUGUAUUUUAGAGUUAAAAUUUGUGUUCUUGUGUCGAUUCUGAUAUGUUUCCCAGAAAAUGAUAGUUUUGUCGAUGGGAAUACUAACUAUUAUGAGGAACUCUUAUCUUGCAGAUUGAACACAGGCGAGCAUACAAUUGUGAAAUUAUGCUUUCAAAAGUGAAAGUACCUCUGCAGGAUUUGAUGGUAAUAUAAAGCUCUGUAAUGAUGGCAGUUUAAUCGGGUAAAAUGUUAAUGACAAUUAAAAGCUAAAUUGAUUAUGUAAAUAUUGGCAGUACUCAGUGCUUAACCUGGAGGAAUCGGCUCUUGAUGCUGAUCAGGUUGAGAAUCUAAUCAAGUUUUGUCCAACAAGAGAAGAAAUGGAAUUACUUAAGGUAUAAGAAGUGCACUCCUAACUAAUUUUCUGCUGUUUUGAUUCCAAAAGCCAGUAACCCCUACACAAAAUGGGUAUACUGUGAUCCACCUUUUGUAUGUUCCUCUGAUUUUUCUUCAUUUUUGCAUGGUUUGCAGGGUUACACUGGUGACGUGGACAAGCUUGGAAAAUGCGAGCUGGUACAGAACUUUGAAACAAUUUUGUGGUUUUAUUGGAGUAGCCAUCAGAGUGAUAACAUCGUAUAUGCUUCUUGAAAUUGUUUGGACAGUUCUUCUUAGAGAUGAUGAAAGUCCCACGAGUGGAAACAAAGCUUAGGGUAUUCUCAUUCAAAAUUCAGUUCCGUUCUCAGGUUUGAAAACUGAUUCCCUACUAAUUACGAGUAUCCUGAGCUUUGGUUUUAGUACUAAUGGUCACUAGUAAACACUUGUUUUAGAUCUCUGAACUCAAGAAUAGUCUAAGUGUUGUGAACUCCGCAGCAGAACAGGUUAGUCAGACUCAACUUGCGGGUCUCCCAACGUGAUUAAACAUAUCUCACAAAUACUCUGUUGUUCCUCUUUUCAUCAGAUAAAGAAUUCUGAGAAAUUCAAAAGAAUAAUGCAGACAGUUUUGUCCCUUGGAAACGCCUUAAACCAGGGGACAGCUAGGGGUGAGUUUGAAAAUGAAACGCAGAAACUAUAGGUUAUAUCUUUUAUCCUGCGCUGAAUGUACUUUCUGUCUAGGUGCUGCGGUGGGGUUUAAGCUGGACAGUCUGCCAAAACUCAGUGAAACACGGGCGCGUAAUAACCGUAUGACUCUGAUGCAUUAUCUAUGCAAGGUAAGCUCCUGUAAUGCUUCUGUAGCUAUGUGGAUGAACUAGAUAAAGAAAAAAUUUAUAUUCUGAUGGAUUGUCUGCAGAUUCUUGCUGAGAAAAUGCCAGAAGUUUUAGAUUUCACGAAAGAUUUAUCCUCACUUGAGCCUUCAACAAAGGUACUUAGCUAUCACAUUUCAUGUGCGGUUUGGUAAGAAACUUGAAAACUGUGUUAAAUUUUCUGAACUUUGAUAAUACAGAUUCAACUGAAGUUUUUGGCGGAGGAGAUGCAAGCUAUAAACAAGGGACUGGAGAAAGUCGUACAAGAACUAUCCUUGUCCGAAAAUGAUGGCCCAAUCUCACAUAACUUUAACAAGGUAUCUAUGUUCGAUCACUAGUUCCCUUUUCAAUGCUUUCUCAGAUCGUUUAUUGGGAGAACAGUUAAGUUUUUCAUGAGAAAGUUAAGUAGGCUGUGUAGUGUAGGUAGACAUAGCCUCUACUUGAAGGAGUUCCUUUUUCCAGAGCUAUGUUUUUUUUUUGUCACAGACAGAGCUAUGUUAUAUGAAACAAUCAAGUCUUAUUUGAAAACAAUCAAGUUUUAUAUGCACAGAGCUAAAUGUACAUCAAGGUCUUUUAUUUAUUUAUUUAUUUCGCAGAUAUUGAAGGAGUUCCUUCUUUAUGCGGAAGCAGAAGUAAGGUCCUUGGCUUCACUCUAUUCCGGAGUGGUAUGUCACUAAAAAUCCAGUGUGCAUUUGAUAUAUUAUUGGCUUCUCUACCGUUGGUCAGAAAAAAAAUAAUUAUGUAACGCAGGGACGAAACGUGGAUGGCUUAAUUCUCUACUUUGGUGAAGACCCAGCUAAAUGUCCAUUUGAACAGGGUAUGCAUAUACAAGAUGCAUAUAUAUAUAGGCUUUCUAUGUUCAUUGCUACUUUCUGUGAAAUUAGAUCGUUUUUUAUCUUUGAUCUAGGUCAAAUAUUGAUCUGUGAUCUUCUACUUUCCCAGAAAGUUGAUAGCUUUGGCAAUGUUUGUGUGUCUGCGAUAAAAAUAGGAUUUUUUUUUAAAUUUUAAAUCAUGAUUGGCUUUUAAGACACUGAUACUGAAGACAAAUGUUCUAUCUUUAUUUUGCAGUGUUUGACUGCUGCUUCUCCUCCGAUUCUUGGGAAGAAGAGAUAUAUAUAUAUAUGUAACAUUAUGUGAAACAAGGUUUUUCAGAGUUGUUGAAUCUAACAAAAUGGUAAUUGCAGUGGUGUCUACCCUUCUAAACUUUGUAAGGCUGUUCAACCGUGCGCAUGAAGAAAACGGAAAACAACUUGAGGCAGAAGCUAAGAAGAAAGCUGAAGACGAGAAAUCAAAAAUAAGUGAAGUAGAUAAAGAAAGCAGGAAGCCCUUGUCCUUGGAGGAACAAGUUAAGAAGGAGAAAACAAAAAUAAGUGGAUUUGAUAAAGAAACCAAGGAGACACUGGAUGAAGGAACCCCUGCUUGAAAAACUGCUCCUUUCUAUUUUUAGAUGGCAAUGGAAGUAAAACAGUGUAGGACGGGAACGGACCGGCGAAGGUGAGGAGGCUAUGCGGCUUAAACCCAUGGUGUUUCCAGACAAUAUGAAAAGUGCAGCAUUGUCACUUAACGACAAAGCUAACUUGUAAAAUAGGGAGGGGGUAUAAAAUAAUGUAAUUAGAAAACAAUAAACACAACUACAUCAUACAUGCCUGGUCAAAUCUGCAAUAAGCAAUGUUAUUCCCUUCUUUAAAAUUGUACAAGAGGCAAAGUGUCUACUUUUGCAUAUAAUAAGAAAAACUCCUCUGUAUGAUCGUCUUUGGAGUAGCAAAACUAAGUCGGGUGGAUUUGAGAGUGGCCUGGACUUUUAUCCUUCCCUCACAGUUAUCUUUCUAUUUGUUCACGAUGUGGAAGAUAUUGAUAGUUUUUACUAUAGUUAUGAAUUGUUAAUGAUCACCUAUUUAUGAACUUGGGAUCUGUGUUUCUGCUAUUGAUGUCUACCCCUGUGUUAUUUAGUACCAUAGGCUCUGAAUAACACAAGUUCAUAGCAUGUGGCUGAGCUCCUCCGGUGCAUUGUUGGAGGCCAAGUUCUUAUGUGUAUGUUGCAGACAAGUUUCAGAGCAAGGGGAUGGUGAGGUCAAAACAGGAGAAAAUCCAAGUGCUUGGAGCAAUAAUAUUUCAUUUGUGUAAGAAUUUGCCAUCUUUUGGAAAAAAGAAACACAUAAAGUUUCCUUUUUAUUAUUGUUUAACAGUCUUGAUAUAUGUCCAGUAACAGUACUGUUGAACCACAAUGACAAAAUUGUUUGACUCAAGAACCAAAAUCAAACACACAAACUCACUCAUACACUCUCUAACCAACUCGACGACGUAAGUAAGAAAGUUGAGUUUGUAGAAUAAUAGAGAUAUGAAGAAGAAUGCAGAAAAGAUAGAAGAUGGACACAAGAAAUUGUUUACCCAGUGGUUCAACUAGAAUGGUUUACGUCCACUGGGGCCUGGCAAGAGGCAAUCCACUAUAAUCUCAAGUACAAAAAAUAUAGCACGUCUCUUUCUCUCACAACCAAAGCUCACAAACCAAGCUAGGUCUUUUCUUGGACCAAGGAGAAAGAGUAUACACGAGCUCCUCUUAUAUAAUAGGAGUCUAUUAGGUUAACCUAGUCGGAUUAGGGCAUUCGCCCCUUUCCAUAAACCUAUUAGGAAAUAUUCCAAAAUACUUGCAACUUCCAUAACUCCAUGAGAGUAAUAUUUCCAGGAUCCUGCCGACUUCCAUAUCUCCAUAAAAGUGACAUUUCCUUUUCCUAACAUGACGUCCUUGUCUUGGUUUAAGUUACUCAAUCUUGUUUGAUUUCCAUCACCAAAUCCUAACGCAGUCUAUGACAGAUUCUCUGACGUAACCACUGAUGAAUCCCAACAGGUACAACCAAAACCAAAUGAUUUGAAGACUCUGUGCAGCAGCAGCUCUAGCUCCCACGGUAUGUUGUGGAAGAAAAUGGUGAAAGUAACAGAGGUACGUGGAAAUGCUCCAGACUCUAUAACCUUGAAUGCAAUGGAAACAUAAGGGAAGAAGCCUCCUGGGCAAUAUGUUCCAGCGUUGAAGCUUAUCCUAUACGUACAUGGCUUCAAAUCCUCGACCAAAUCCAUCAAUGGCCCGCUACUCCCAUCUUUAUCAGUAGCUGAAGUGCCCACAACGGACCAGACCCUCUCCAUGAAGAAAGGAAGGACUCGUAGUGUCCAAAACCGUCAUUUCAUAUCCAAUAUAUCGAGAUAUGUUCAAGCUUAUAUAUGACCGUGCAAAAAAAUACAUGUACUAACAUACAUAUUAUUUAUCUUUUUUGCAAAAUUAUACACCAGUCGUCACAUCAGUUGUCACGUCAUCUAAUUUCAAUGAUGGGAUGCUAAGUUAGCCAAUUUUACUCACAAUGAUGCCACAUGUACAAUUUUUUUAAAAAUUGUCGUUUUAAAAAUAACUUUUCUAAAAAUGUAAAAUUUUAUAUUUUUUAUUAUUUAGUAAUAUUAACAAAAAUUAAUUAAAUCAUAAAAUUUUAAUCUUAUAUAAGAUUUAUAUUUGUAAAUGUUAUAUAAUAAAUUUACAUCAUAAAUUCUUUAAUCGUAGCGUUAGAGUAUCCGUUGGGGUUCAGUUCAGGUUUUUCGGAUUUCGAUUCUAUUUUAUAACAUGUCCUAAGAUUCAUACUGAUAUUUUUGUAAGUAUGGGUCAGUAUACGUUUUGUAACACUUUUCAAGAUCCUUUCAGGUAUUUUUUUACGUUUAAGACCGGAUACGGUUUGGGUUCGGUUCGGAUUUUAGGUUACGGAUUUUAUACACGACCCUAUACACAACAAUGAUUUAUCGAGAGUAAGACGACUGCAACACUAACAUUAAAUUUGAUUCAUCACAACACAUAUAUAACUCUUAUAAGGACGAUAUUGUGAUAAGAUCAAAACAUUUAUGAAUAUAUAUAUGUUAUAUAAGGUUAAAUUUUUAUGAUUUAAUUAAAAUUUGUUAAUAUUCUAAAUAAUAAAAUUUAUAAAAUUUUACAUUUUCUAAAAAACUAUUUAUAUAAUGUGAUUAUUUUUAAAAAAAUCGUGUACGUGGCAUACUCGUCGACGUAACAUUUACAUCAACUAAAUUAGAUGAUGUGGCAGCUAAUAUGGCGACCGGUAUAUGAUUUCACCGAAAAAAUAAAUAGUGGGUAUGUUAUUUGAAAUUUUCAGAUAUAAAUUGAACAUAUCGCGAUUUAAUGGGCAUGAAAUCGCCGUUUUCUCUCUUCUUGGGUGUUGUUGCAAGUCUGUUAAAUGGGCCUCUAAAUGGGCUUUUCCAAAAUAGGCUCAUUAGAUAUCUUUCCUUCCUUUUUUUGUCAAAAUAUUUCGUUCCUUCUACUUCAUCUUCUUUGCCACCAAUAUAUAGGAGAUAGGACAGAGAAGAGAUCUGUUGUCUUAGGGUUUUUGUCUUCUGCUUGUGCGCGGGAAUAAAGAAUUCAUAGCCGGAAAUGGCGAAAGACGACGUGGAGAUGCGAGGGGAGGCGGAGGAGCGUAUAAUAAACGAAGACUACAAGAUCUGGAAGAAGAACACUCCUUUCCUCUACGACCUCGUCAUCACUCACGCUCUCGAGUGGCCUUCCCUUACCGUUGAAUGGCUCCCCAGCCGCGAGGAGCCUCCCGGUCAAAACUACUCCGUCCAGAAGAUGAUUCUCGGUACCC